Molecule: long non-coding RNA, 146 nt
Organism: Ornithodoros turicata
Lineage: Eukaryota; Metazoa; Arthropoda; Arachnida; Ixodida; Argasidae
Exons: 3
Source: RefSeq, a predicted model, not a curated record
CACGCUGCACUCUCCGAAAUUGCCACAAGUCAAGUUCAGGAAGGCACGUCACCCACCAUGCCCUUGAACAAUGAAGUCGACGCAAUGGCUGAUCACUGGGAGGACAUUGAUCCCCUUGAUGACGAGCAUAGUGAUGAGGCUGAAUC